AUUGAACGCUGGCGGCAUGCUUUACACAUGCAAGUCGAACGGUAACAGGUCUUCGGAUGCUGACGAGUGGCGAACGGGUGAGUAAUGCAUCGGAACGUGCCCAGUCGUGGGGGAUAACGCAGCGAAAGCUGCGCUAAUACCGCAUACGAUCUAUGGAUGAAAGCGGGGGACCGUAAGGCCUCGCGCGAUUGGAGCGGCCGAUGUCAGAUUAGGUAGUUGGUGGGGUAAAGGCCCACCAAGCCAACGAUCUGUAGCUGGUCUGAGAGGACGACCAGCAACACUGGGACUGGGACACGGCCCGGACUCCUACGGGAGGCAGCAGUGGGGAAUUUUGGACAAUGGGGGAAAGCCUGAUCAGCAAUGCCGCGUGCAGGAAGAAGGCCUUGGGGUUGUAAACUGCUUUUGUACGGAACGGAACGGCUCUCUCUAAUACAGAGGGCUAAUGACGGUACCGUAAGAAUAAGCACCGACUAACUACGUGCCAGCCGCCGCCGUAA
This 497-nucleotide ribosomal RNA is filed under the name uncultured bacterium. Its description in RNAcentral is "partial 16S ribosomal RNA". It matches the Rfam family "Bacterial small subunit ribosomal RNA", at positions 30 to 523 of the family's 1533-position model. The record is from RNAcentral.